Molecule: microRNA precursor, 72 nt
Filed under: Myotis davidii
Lineage: Eukaryota; Metazoa; Chordata; Mammalia; Chiroptera; Vespertilionidae
Description: mir-9193 microRNA precursor family
Rfam family: mir-9193 microRNA precursor family
Source: Rfam by way of RNAcentral
UCAGGGCUGGAAGUCCCUCAGCCUGGAUUGCAAGAGGGCGCAGACCAGGCUGAGGGACCCCACCAGUGCACA